This 468-nucleotide ribosomal RNA is filed under the name uncultured bacterium. Its description in RNAcentral is "partial 16S ribosomal RNA". It matches the Rfam family "Bacterial small subunit ribosomal RNA", at positions 28 to 507 of the family's 1533-position model. The record is from RNAcentral.
GACGAACGCUGGCGGCGUGCUUAACACAUGCAAGUCGAACGGAAAGGCCCUGCUUUUGUGGGGUGCUCGAGUGGCGAACGGGUGAGUAACACGUGAGUAACCUGCCCUUGACUUUGGGAUAACUUCAGGAAACUGGGGCUAAUACCGGAUCGGAGCUCCUGCUGCAUGGUGGGGGUUGGAAAGUUUCGGCGGUUGGGGAUGGACUCGCGGCUUAUCAGCUUGUUGGUGGGGUAGUGGCAUACCCAGGCUUUGACGGGUAGCCGGCCUGAGAGGGUGGCCGGCGUCAUUGGGACUGAGAGACGGACCAGAGUCCUACAGGGGGCAGCAGGGGGGAAUAUUGCACAAUGGGCGGGAGUCUGAUACAGCAACGCUGCGGUCGUGAUGACGGCCUGCGGGGUGUAAACCGCUUUCGCCUGUGACGAAGCGUUAGUGACGGUAAUGGGUAAAGAAGCACCGGCUAACUACGUG